Molecule: ribosomal RNA, 498 nt
Filed under: uncultured bacterium
Lineage: Bacteria
Description: partial 16S ribosomal RNA
Rfam family: Bacterial small subunit ribosomal RNA
Source: RNAcentral
ACUCAAAGGAAUAGACGGGGGCCCGCACAAGCGGUGGAACAUGUGGUUUAAUUCGAUGCAACGCGAAGAACCUUACCUACCUUUGAAUCCACGGAACGCUGCAGUGAUGUAGUGGUGCCUUCGGGAACCGUGAGACAGGUGCUGCAUGGCUGUCGUCAGCUCGUGUCGUGAGAUGUUGGGUUAAGUCCCGUAACGAGCGCAACCCCUAUCCUUAGUUACCAGCGAGUAAAGUCGGGCACUUUAAGGAGACUGCCGGUGAUAAACCGGAGGAAGGUGGGGAUGACGUCAAGUCCUCAUGGCCCUUACAGGUAGGGCUACACACGUGUUACAAUGGCCAGUACAGAGGGUUGCCAACCCGCGAGGGGGAGCUAAUCUCAGAAAGCUGGUCGUAGUCCGGAUUGGAGUCUGCAACUCGACUCCAUGAAGCUGGAAUCGCUAGUAAUCGCGGAUCAGAACGCCGCGGUGAAUACGUUCCCGGGCCUUGUACACACCGCCCGU